UAGUUUACUUGGAUCAACUGUU
Molecule: microRNA, 22 nt
Filed under: Schistosoma japonicum
Lineage: Eukaryota; Metazoa; Platyhelminthes; Trematoda; Strigeidida; Schistosomatidae
Description: miRNA-3071
Source: RNAcentral